CCACCCUCCUCUCUCUCUCUCUCUCUCUCUCUCUCUUUCUCUCUCUGUGAAGACACUUCAAAUGAUAUAUCUUAGAGGUUAAUUAGUCUUUUCUCUUGGAUAAUUUCCAUAUCUAUCUCAACCCUAACACUGUAACCUGUUUCCCCAUGCAUAUACCUAUAAAUCUCACUCUCUUAGUUUUCCUCUGUUUUUACCUCUCUCCCUCCCUCUCCCUCUCUAUUCAGCAUCCCCCUGUUUUUACCUAGUGCAACUCUCUCUCUCUACUCAGCUAGGAUGAGGAUCUGGUUUUAUUUUAUUCAACUAAAAAGACAUUUACUGCAUAAUGACUGAUAGAUCAAGCUGUUUUGUUUCCUCCAUUAAGAAAGCAACAAUUAACAACCAAAAAGAAAAAAAAGAAAAGAAAGAUUUAUGUUUCUCUUCCACUAAGAAAGUAGCAACAAGAAAGGCAGCUAUGAAAAAGGGGUAAACCUCACCUUUCCCAACCAAGUUGGCAUUAAUUUCAGAAAUCCACCACCUAUGCUUCGACUUACAUAAAAUUGUUACUUUAACUCUUUUUUUUUGAGACAAGAUUCCAUUCCUAUGAAUAAGCCGCUUUAUUAAUACUCAAACAAAUUAGUUCUAAAAGUACUGCUUUAACCCUUUUCUUUUUUUUUUCUAAAUCUGUUUAUCACUGAGGUUCCCUCUCCCUAAACUCACAGAUCCAAGAAUUUCUCGAGUACAGACCCAAGAACCUGUACAUCUAUAUCUAAAACAAAAACCAAAAACCUAACUUACUCCCUGAGUAAACCACCAGCGGUUAUCCUCUCCACACACAACUGAAAGCCCCUGGGUAAACACCCUCUCUCAAUCUAAACACAUCCUCAUGAUAAAGAUCUUAAUCUAAGUGUAAGUCCAACAAUCACUAUUGAAAGAGAGGAGGCGAUCUGGAUGACAAAAAAAUGUGGACAUAUUUUUCCUAGUGUACGCAUUUUUCAUUUUGAGAGAGCACCUAAAGGAGAUGUACAUUUGUGCAAAUUUGAGGUCCCUCGGAUUCUCACUUCUCUAAAAAAAAUUUCUCACCGCCAGGAUAGCCUUUCACUUAUGGAUCUUUCAGGGGCAUUUGGCUUAUACAAUUUAAUAGGCCUGUGGGCUUACAAGAUCAAAUUCCUAUUUAUCCUAGAUCAAGAGACAUGGGGGAAUUCUGGAUAAAAGGCUAGGAAGGGACUUUGUUUUAUGUCUUAGAGGGGGUGGGUGAGAUUGGUUUCAUUCGAAGAGAACAUCAGGACUGGUUGCUGAUGUCUAGGGAGAGGAAAUACUAGAGAAAGGAGUGCUUGUGGUAGUAGACAUAGAAAGAAACAUUGCCUUCUGGUUUUAUCAAUUUUUUAAGACAUGGUUUUAGAUACCGUGUCUUCGAAGAAGUGGAUACCGUGGGUUCUUUGAUUAUCCAUUCCUGGGGCCCAUAGCAUCCACUUUCAACGAUAUUUUUAACAUAAGAGGGAGGUGCUACAAUGUAUAGAAGAGAUGGCUCUAGAAGCCACCGCUUCCAAAAAUCAAACACGCCAUUUGUUUCUUAAGGGGGUUUCGUCCUUCAACCUUGGCUGAAAUGACAGACAGGACAAGGGCAAGUAAAUCCUAGAGAAAGAAAGCCCCUUCUUUUUCUCUAAUGAGAAGUAAGGUGGGGUUCAACCGCAGCCCCAUGGUUGGGGUUGCAACAACAGGUGCAUUUCAAAUCCUACGAAGAGGAUAUCCUUGACAGAGAGAGGAUCGACCAUAAAUUGGAUUCAACUCUCACACAUUUACAGGCACCUCUACACCAUAUAGAAAGAAAGGAAAACCUGGGAAAGAAAGCCCGUUGUUUUGUCAUUCAAGAAUUGGUUCGGGUUGAAUGAUCGGGUUCCAGUGUUCCACUGUUUUGUCUGCUUCUCUAACCUCGGCAACUCCAAGGAGUCAGGGCAUAGGGGUCUAUUUCUCCAUCUAAAUUUUUUAGCAGCUUGGUGGUGUGAUCCUGGACCAGGGCUUGAUCAGAGCUGCAUUAUGUUUGUCGUGUGUUAGUUAUUGAGGCACUGGCUAGCAUUACAAAUUGGGAGCAAUGGUUGUGGCCGAUACAGCCUUGAGAGAGGGACAAUAUCUCAAUCAAUGAGAAUCAUUUAGUGGAUUAAGAACAAGUGGGCUGCAAGUUAAAGCUCACUGGGUGGGAUGAUGAGAAAGAACAAGAGGAGGCCAUCGCUGGACCCUGCAGAUGAAUCUCUCUCUUUUUUUCCAGAGGGGAGGAGAGAGAAAGAAGUGCCCCUCGCAGGAAAGACCUCGAAAAAACCAUCCAAAGCCCAUAUUGUAAUUUUCAGUUUUCUUUUAAUAUUUAUUUAAUAGAAAGAGGGCCAAUUUAGUUAGGGUGAGGUUUGUAUGAGGUUCCUACCUAUAAAUCAGGCAGCACCUCUAAAUUUUAUCAAGAGAUGUAGUAGUUCUGGCAUAGGAAAACCUACAAUGACUCCAAAAUCUAGGUUCAAUCCAAUUUAUCAAAUUUGAAUUUUCAAAAAUGGUAGUGUAGAUCGUGCGGAUCUAUAAACACUUGAAAAUAGAUAGUCUAAACUUUUCCUUUUCUUUAUAUUCACACAUCUUGAUGUCUGAUGAUUGGAAUAUCCUUUUAUGCUGAUUUUUUACAUGUUGUAACAUUGUAUAAACUGUUCAUCAAUGGUUUAAAAACCGGAUCGGUGACCCGGAUCGGGCUUUCCAAAAACCG
This 2716-nucleotide long non-coding RNA is filed under the name Amborella trichopoda. RNAcentral describes it as "long non-coding RNA (ATRI_LNC005142)". Lineage: Eukaryota; Viridiplantae; Streptophyta; Magnoliopsida; Amborellales; Amborellaceae. The record is from RNAcentral.